This 63-nucleotide transfer RNA is filed under the name Acanthochitona mahensis. Its description in RNAcentral is "tRNA-His". The record is from RNAcentral. Lineage: Eukaryota; Metazoa; Mollusca; Polyplacophora; Chitonida; Acanthochitonidae.
GUUAGAUUAAUUUAAAAGAAUAUUAAGUUGUGGACUUAAAAGUAAGACUAAUCUUAUCUAACA